Molecule: long non-coding RNA, 5393 nt
Organism: Dermacentor andersoni
Lineage: Eukaryota; Metazoa; Arthropoda; Arachnida; Ixodida; Ixodidae
Source: RefSeq, a predicted model, not a curated record
UGUUAUUUUAGAAUGGACUAUGAAUCUAAGUGUGCUUGAUGAAAGGUGCAAGCUGUUUUUAUGCACAAAUUAGAAAACUCAGUAGAAACAUAUGCUGUUGUUAUCCCCAAAAUACUGAGUCACUUUCAAUUUCACUUUUUAAUUCAUUGAAGCCGUUUUGUCAUGUUGAAACAUCCAAACAGCCUGAAGAAUGUCGCAAUGUUUUUUCAAUAACAUGCACACAAGCCACAAUGCUCAUGUAUGUGCAUGGCUUGUUCCUGCAUGAAAAAAUACAGUGCAUUUAUAUCACUUGAUUACGGCUUAAGAGGAAGCUUUAGUACGGGCCCUCCUACCUAAAUACAUGUAAAAGGAAAAUUCGUUUUUCUCGGAAACCAAUGCACCAAACUCGACAAGAUCUAAAAGAAAAACUUACAGUCUAGUGACUGUUGGUUUCAAAUCUUUUAUUUAGGUCGUCAAUCUUGUACUAAAAAUUGGCAAAAAUCGUAAAUUUUCAGAAAACGAAACUAUGAAGUUUACAACUUCGUAACUCGGCAAUGAAAAAUGUCGCAAUUCUGUGAACUUCAUCUCACAGUACAUCUAAAGCGGACAAAAUUGAUACGUUACACAUUAAUUUCAAAAAAUUCAUUAAUAUGCAACUAAAGCUUUUGCAGAACCCUUGUACACAACGUAACAAAUUCACAUAAUAUAUAAAUUGAUAUACUGAAUUCGUCCGCUUUGAAUGAUCUAGUGGAUGCCGUUCACAGAAUCGUGAUAUCUGUGUCUGAUGCAGAGCUGUUAAUUUGUAAAAUUUGUGCUUUAUUUCUUUAAAACUGCCAAAUUUUUGAAAAUUCUAUAAACAAGAAUAAGGCCCUAAAUCGCAAUUCCGCUGCCAAUAGUCACUAUAAUUCAAUUUUCUCUCUCAAAAGCAACAAAUGUCAUUAGAAUCGGUCCAAGGGUCACCUCAAAAAAGUGUUUUUACGUUUUACAUGUAUUUGAAUAGGCCGUGUCGGAGUUGGGCUAGAGGUAAAACUUUCUCUUAAGAGAUUGCAAAAGGUAGGUAUUGUGUCUGGCUAGAAUGACUGAUUACAGUCCUGAGUAAACAGAAGGCCGAGUCACUAAGACAGCACGGUGCCAAAGAUCACACGAGAAGAGCUUGUGGAGAUAUGUCAUCCACACGUCUUUGCAGCACGGUGAUCCUGCCCUGCAUUGGCAGCAUAGGAGAUCACGCUAUUCUGAGCACUUAACCUCAGUGAUUCAGUGCCUACAGCAUUCUGCUGCUGAGCACAAGGUCAUGGGUUCAAUUCCUGGUUGCUGUGGCCACAGGUUUAUAUGAGUGCAAUGCAACUAUACAUGUGCACUCAAAAUGAAAUGCACAUUAAGGAGCCCCAAGUGACCAAAUUUAAUCUGGAGGCCCGGCCCCCACUUGGGAGUUUCUCAUAGCUGCAGUCUUUGGCACUUUGAGCCAAAUAGAUGAUUAUCAUUGAGCACUAACACAUUAGGCUGGUGGACCACAAAGAGAGGCACUGUGUUCCAGCAAGUAAUGCUGACAGAGAAGCAUGAUGGAUCAACAAGUUCUUGUGAAGGGAAAUUUAGUAAUAUCAGUCAAGCUGCAUUUUCUCUUGUGUUGCAAUUCUUUUGAUUGAACUGCUAUUUACCUGUUAUAUAUAGGACCGAAGCCCUAUAUAUAGGAAACUGGUUUAAUAUUCUCCCAUUGAAGGCACCAAUCCUGCCUUACAUUUACAUCAUUUUAUUCUUUACAAAAAUGCCUCUCAACUGAAGUGCCGCUUUAGAAAUUUUGUUGCUCUAGGUCUUGCCACUUUAGCUUGGCUUAACAUUUGCGUUUAACCUUCCUUUGCCUUUAACCUCUUGCAGUGUGUCCCUCUGGCAGAUUUGCAUUGGUGAAAUUUAAGCGUGGUCCAGACACCCACACUAAGUUUUAUAUGGUCGCUUUAUACCUGCCAGUGCAGUUCGCUAUUAGUGUAUUACUCAAUUCAGGUCAGUCGCGCAACUGUCCACUCAGUUUAGUCUGUGAUGCAUUGCAGUGCUUAAUUGUAAAGCAACCUCAUUAAAGGAACCUUAAACGGGCUUUAGCUGCACUAGUGUCAAACAUUCGAAACAGUAAAAUAUAUUCCUUUAUGCCCUUGCAUGCGCAUGCUUACGUCACUUUCAGAGGUAUCUACCCUCAACAGGUGCACAAUGGUACACCGUGCGGAUGUCUACCUCCGCUUGCUGCAGAACAAAGCUGAAGUGAAAACUUAUAUCAUGUUGAUGCUCAAUGCAUCAAUUCUUGCUGCAAAGGAGGCUUCCCUCGGGAACGGCAGCAGCAGCCACAGCCACAGCAGGGCAUUGCUACAGGAUUGCACUACAGCUGUCACUCGUGUGGCUACCAGACCAGGCGCAAGGACAACAUGGAAAAGCACGUGCGUGUGCACACAAAAGAGCGGCCAUUUGCAUGCCGUCACUGUGGUAGGACGUUCAGUGACCCCUGCAACCAGCGGCGCCAUGAGCGCAGGCACACUGGUGCCUGUUACCGUUGUGUGAUCUGUUCUCGCACAUUCAUGCGCAAAAAGUACCUGACGGACCACUUAAAGACACACUAGAGAAUAAGAGAACCCCCCAGGUUCACAUGUCACUGCUGCAGCGAUUGAUCAAUAAGUUCUAAUAAACUAUUGCGGAAUGGUGAUGGCAGAUAGUCGAAGCACAGGAAGCGAUAGCAAGGGCUAGCCCAGUGCUCUAGCUUCUUGUACGGUGUUGUAACAAUAUAGGUGGAGGCGUCAUGUUGGCACGGCACAGCAUGAGGCAACCGCUGCUGCACACGAGAAACAGCACCCUGGCAGCUAUUGCGCAUCUUGCAACAUUCUCGUCAUGAGGAGCACUGGCAGCGGUGUUGUAGGCACUGAUGGAAAACCAUUGGCAUUUGUCAGUGUCCAAGGAAAGAAUUAGAUGGUUUCAAUUUGAGAUGUGCUGUUUAUUCCACUUGGACCAGUUUAUGCACUACGGUGUGGUCUAGUGACCAUGUGUGUUCUUACAACACUCGUGCCAACAGUGGAAGGCAGAACACUGCCCCGGCUCCCCUGCAGAGCAGAUUAAACAAAUCGUGGCAGCGCGCCCACUUGGCUGGGUCGCUUUUGCAGCUAAACACAAUGUGUGUUGCUUAAGUCUAUGGAGGCCUUUUAACCCUGCGCACGUGGGUCCCACAUGCACCGUCGAUAACAUGGCAGUAUGGCGGUGCCGACAGCAACAGAACACGUGCCCAGAGUGCCUGUAUAAUUGCUAUCGCAAUAAAAGGAAAGGUCAGAGAUGUAUAAGCGGCAUGUGGGAAGAAGAAUCGGCAAGGUGUUGGUAUCAUGUUAAGGAUUCCAGUUUCAUAUGUAGGAUAGUGGUGGGUCAGGAGUAAUUUCUGGGUCUCUGUUUUCGAAUUAAUCAACAUACCAUGGUACGACCACUAUUAGCUAGGCAUCACCACUAUGCCAGGCGACUUGGCUGUGGUGGUGGGCCCCAUAAUGAGAACCUGCCCAGGAGCACGAGGGACAGUGGCAACACUUACACUCUAGAAAGGGAAAGGACAUGUACUCAUGCCCUGAUGGAAAGGCGAGAGUACACGGUUGGACUGUAUGUGUACGUUAGGCCCCAAGUUCUGUUGAAUGACCAUUAAAAAAUAAAAUGCUUCUUAGACUUUUUCUAACAAAGCAGGUGGAUAGCUAUGUUAUUUGUAAAAUAGUUAGCCAGUGGCAUGGCUAUAAAACUCAAUGUCCUUGCACCAAGCUCGAAUGAGUGCAACGUGUCUCCCUAUCAUUUGAUAGACGGACAAUAAUUGAAUGGCUGCUUCGAAUUCCAAAAAGCCAUUCAAUAACCAAUCACGCUUGAAUGAGUGCAACGUGUCUCCCAUAUCAUUUGAUAGGCAGACAAUAGUUGAAUGGCUGCUUUGAAUUCCAAGAAGCCAUUCAAUAACUAGCCUUUGUAUGCAAAUCCUCUUAUUACUCCCAUUUUGCACUGACGCCAGUCCAUGUUCACGCAUAAUCAGCUGAUGCAACCCGGCACCCAUAUAGCACAAUCCUAUCUCCACCAAUACUACCAACUGCAUUAACUAUAGCUCACAGGCCACAAUACAAUGCCUGAGUGACUGUAAUGCAAUAUGUGGGGUACAAGAAGAGGUAAUCUAUUAUUGUGAUAGCAAUAUUAUAUGGGCACUCAAGGCAUAUUCAUGCCAUCACUGCUAUCGUGCUGUCACGGUAUCGAUGGCACAUGCACAAAGAACACUGGGAUGUCUAAAAAAGACCGGCAGUGGAUUUAGCUGCAAAAACAAUGAAGCCAAGUCGACACUCUUUCACAUACACCACUCAAUCGGCUCUGCAGCGUAGCCAGGGCAGCGUUCUGCCUUCCACUGCUGGCAUGAGUGUUGUGCACAAAAACUAGAAGUCCUGCUGAGCAGCUGUGAGUGUACCACACCGUGGUGCGUACAAUAGUCUGAGCAGAACAUACAGUACACUUCAAGCUACAAACUCUUGACAGUUUCAUCAGGCCAUAUGUAAUUAGCCCUUUUGUGGCAUGCCAGCAUCACUGCUAGCAGAAAGAAAACAGUUCUUGGCCUAUCAGUGCACUAAAAUUGGUGGAAUCCAUGGUGGCAUAAAGCUAGCGACAUAAGUAAAUGGCAAAUGGGUCACAUGUCACCAGCCUCGCGCCGCCUCUGAUAGGCAAUUUGAAUCAACCUGAUGCAUAGUCUCUAUCUGCCAGACAAUCACGCCUACUGUUCUGUGCCAUGCAGCAAAAGGCACCUGGUAGGAAAAGUGGAACAUGUUCUUGCAUCUUUCCAUUCUGUGCAAAUGUGAGCAUGCACACAAGAAAGGUGCAAGGAAGGAAGCCCCAAGGAGUGUGGAGAUGCAGUGCUGAUGAGCAUCCUUCCGAAGGGGCCAUUAUCCUGAAAGGCAACCAAAAGCCCCACGAAUAGCUCAUGUGAAUCUUGUACAGCAUAACUCACUGGUUUGUGGGCUGUCACAUAGGCUGGGCAGUAACCAAGCUUCAGAACUUCAUCUGCAGUUUUGUCAAAUAUUCUGUUCCAGACUUUAGGGUAUGGUCCUUAUGCAAGUUUAGCUUUACUACCAUAUUCCAGUUCUUUUUGCAGAAACCCAGAUACAAAAAAGCAUUAAAACAUGUGGAACGUAUAACCUCUUUCACUUGCAAUGAAAAUGUAAGGUAUUCAAGAAAAACUGCUUUAAAUUCAGUGAAACAAGGGUUGGUUUAAAAUGGUACACAUCAAUACAGCACAUGUGGCUCUCAUUAGCCAUCAAAUCUAAACAGUGACGUGCACCAAGUUCGCAGUGGCAUUGGCAGAAACAUACUCCACAGCAGAUAAAUAACUUUUCUUUAUUUGUUCUUGUUCGAGAAUAAAGAGUCUGCAUCGUUUUUCUCUUGUA